This 448-nucleotide long non-coding RNA is filed under the name Cricetulus griseus (Chinese hamster). RNAcentral's name for it is "lncRNA (ENSCGRG00015034097.1)". Lineage: Eukaryota; Metazoa; Chordata; Mammalia; Rodentia; Cricetidae. The record is from RNAcentral.
GACCGAGCUGUCCAGUGCAGCGGGGAAAGAGCAGGGCUGUGACUAAUCCCCUGGCAUGCUCUGCUAGCCAAGGGCUUCAGAAUGCAAAACCAGACAUCCCAAGAGCAGCCUGUGCAUUAUAAGGCUGUCCCCCACCAACCCUGGACAGUGAACAAGAUUGAAGACAGAUCUGUGUCGAUCUUGAGUGCUGUUGGGAAUAAAUGCCCAGCAUGAAGCUGACAAGAGUGGCCACCGGGCUGGACCAACUUCAACCAAGGGCAAAGUUUUGAGUGCAUGUGGAAUGGAGCUCUUCUUGAAACAAGCACUGGAGACUGAUCACCAGAAGGUUCUAGGCUAGUCUGAACAGAAGGAAUGCACAAAGAAGUAACAUGUUAGAGGUUAAAGUUGUAUAUUGCAUCCUAUGUCCAUGUUGUUUACUUAGGUGGCAUUAGUGCCAAUGAAAAGCCCC